This 86-nucleotide transfer RNA is filed under the name Candidatus Zixiibacteriota bacterium. RNAcentral's name for it is "candidate division Zixibacteria bacterium tRNA-Leu". It matches the Rfam family "tRNA". Rfam says of the family: Transfer RNA (tRNA) molecules are approximately 80 nucleotides in length. Their secondary structure includes four short double-helical elements and three loops (D, anti-codon, and T loops). The record is from RNAcentral. Lineage: Bacteria; Pseudomonadati; Candidatus Zixiibacteriota.
GCCUGAGUGGCGAAAUUGGUAGACGCAAGGGACUUAAAAUCCCUCGUUCAGUAAUGGACGUACCGGUUCGAUUCCGGUCUCCGGCA